AUGAAGCAUGUCCACAUGAUUGACUUGAUCAUUUUCUUGGGCUGAGGGGGAAAAGCACAGCUCCGAAGUCUUACCGUUGCCCACUCCGGUUAGCCUUUCUAACUGUUCCCAACGUAUCCCAGGCAAAGAGUGCUUUAUUUUAAUCUGUCUCUUUUCAGAAUCACCCUGUUCAUUGAUACUGAUCACCCAACAUCACAAGACAUUCGCAUCUUUCAGCUUAGACUCCCCCUAUCUGGGUGAAUCUUGGUGGACAGCGGGACAUGAAGCAUCAGUCACAGCUCCGGCGUUUAAGAGAAGUAAUCAGCGAUAAAAUGACGUUGAUCUGCACUGUAACCUUGUGGCGUAUUUAAUGUAAAUAAGCCAGUUAUGUUGCCAAUCGCAUAGAUACAAACACAUAAAAGGUCCUCAGCCUUGCAUUUCCAUUCUUUCCAUUAGAGCUGACUUUAUUUACAGACACUAUUUAGGGGAUCAUGAUAAUUCUAAAACAAUACUAGUGCCAAAUGAUUAUGAAAAUAUGAUUUUAAUUAAUCACGUAGUAGGCAAGGAAAUUAGCAUACGGUAAUUAAACUUAGAGAAAAACGUCAUGGAGGUUCUCUGCCUUAUGGGUCCGGAAUAAUCAUUAAACGAUGGGUUUCAGGACUUAAUUAUCAAACAAAUAACUUUUUUAAAGCAACUUUGCGAGGUUUAUCCUCAGGGCAAACGUUUUAGUAAAUAAUACACAACCGGGGGAAACAAGGUGCAAAUGUGUCCCGUGCAGUAGGUUAUGUCUCCACAAAGCGAGGAAGAGAAGAGGGAGAAAAAGCUGAAUAAUGCAAUUAUGGAUUCUGUGUCCUAUAGUUGACAAAAGCAUGGUGCCUCAAUAGAUUCUUUGUUAUGGGAUUAUAUAAUGAUUGUGGUGUAAUUAUGGGAAAAAAAAGAUUUAGCAAUAAUAAAAAAGUAUCAAAAUACACCAAUGGGCAGCUCGUUUAAAAGAAAAGCCUUGCUUGUGACAUUAGGGGCAUGUUAACAA
RNAcentral lists this long non-coding RNA (1009 nucleotides) under Ornithorhynchus anatinus (platypus). RNAcentral describes it as "lncRNA (ENSOANG00000049083.1)". The record is from RNAcentral. Lineage: Eukaryota; Metazoa; Chordata; Mammalia; Monotremata; Ornithorhynchidae.